This 599-nucleotide ribosomal RNA is filed under the name Trichoderma americanum. RNAcentral's name for it is "eukaryotic LSU rRNA". It matches the Rfam family "Eukaryotic large subunit ribosomal RNA", at positions 121 to 741 of the family's 3401-position model. The record is from RNAcentral. Lineage: Eukaryota; Fungi; Ascomycota; Sordariomycetes; Hypocreales; Hypocreaceae.
UCUGGCCCCUCUCGGGGUCCGAGUUGUAAUUUGUAGAGGAUGCUUUUGGCGAGGCGCCGCCCGAGUUCCCUGGAACGGGACGCCACAGAGGGUGAGAGCCCCGUCUGGCUGGCCGCCGAGCCUCUGUAAAGCUCCUUCGACGAGUCGAGUAGUUUGGGAAUGCUGCUCAAAAUGGGAGGUAUAUGUCUUCUAAAGCUAAAUACUGGCCAGAGACCGAUAGCGCACAAGUAGAGUGAUCGAAAGAUGAAAAGCACCUUGAAAAGAGGGUUAAAUAGUACGUGAAAUUGUUGAAAGGGAAGCGCUUGUGACCAGACUUGGGCGCGGCGGAUCAUCCGGGGUUCUCCCCGGUGCACUUCGCCGCGUCCAGGCCAGCAUCAGUUCGUCGCGGGGGAUAAAGGCUUCGGGAACGUGGCUCCCCCGGGAGUGUUAUAGCCCGUCGCACAAUACCCUGCGGUGGACUGAGGACCGCGCAUCUGCAAGGAUGCUGGCGUAAUGGUCACCAGCGACCCGUCUUGAAACACGGACCAAGGAGUCGUCUUCGUAUGCGAGUGUUCGGGUGUCAAACCCCUACGCGUAAUGAAAGUGAACGCAGGUGAGAG